GAUGAACGCUGGCGGCGUGCCUAAUACAUGCAAGUCGAGCGAACAGACGAGGAGCUUGCCCCUCUGACGUUAGCGGCGGACGGGUGAGUAACACGUGGAUAACCUACCUAUAAGACUGGGAUAACUUCGGGAAACCGGAGCUAAUACCGGAUAAUAUAUUGAACCGCAUGGUUCAAUAGUGAAAGACGGUUUUGCUGUCACUUAUAGAUGGAUCCGCGCCGCAUUAGCUAGUUGGUAAGGUAACGGCUUACCAAGGCAACGAUGCGUAGCCGACCUGAGAGGGUGAUCGGCCACACUGGAACGGGGACACGGUCCAGACUCCUACGGGGGGCAGCAGUAGGGAAUCUUCCGCAAUGGGCGAAAGCUUGACGGAGCAACGCCGCGUGAGUGAUGAAGGUCUUCGGAUCGUAAAACUCUGUUAUUAGGGAAGAACAAAUGUGUAAGUAACUAUGCACGUCUUGACGGUACCUAAUCAGAAAGCCACGGCUAACUACGUG
RNAcentral lists this ribosomal RNA (497 nucleotides) under uncultured bacterium. RNAcentral describes it as "partial 16S ribosomal RNA". It matches the Rfam family "Bacterial small subunit ribosomal RNA", at positions 28 to 507 of the family's 1533-position model. The record is from RNAcentral.